Molecule: transfer RNA, 74 nt
Filed under: Phycisphaerales bacterium
Lineage: Bacteria; Pseudomonadati; Planctomycetota; Phycisphaerae; Phycisphaerales
Also listed under: 1 other name
Description: tRNA-Trp
Rfam family: tRNA
About the family: Transfer RNA (tRNA) molecules are approximately 80 nucleotides in length. Their secondary structure includes four short double-helical elements and three loops (D, anti-codon, and T loops).
Source: RNAcentral
AGGCCAGUAGCUCAACUUGGUAGAGCAGCGGUCUCCAAAACCGCAGGUUGGGGGUUCGAUUCCCUCCUGGCCUG